AGAGUUUGAUCCUGGCUCAGGAUGAACGCUAGCGGCAGGCUUAAUACAUGCAAGUCGAGGGGCAGCAUGGUGUAGCAAUACACUGAUGGCGACCGGCGCACGGGUGCGUAACGCGUAUGCAAUCUACCUUCAACAGGCGAAUAACCCGGAGAAAUUCGGACUAAUACGCCGUAGUAUUCUUUUUAGGCAUCUAAAAAUAAUUAAAGAUUUAUCGGUUGAAGAUGAGCAUGCGUUCGAUUAGGUAGUUGGUGGGGUAAUGGCCUACCAAGCCGACGAUCGAUAGGGGUUCUGAGAGGAUGAUCCCCCACACUGGUACUGAGACACGGACCAGACUCCUACGGGAGGCAGCAGUAGGGAAUAUUGGACAAUGGUCGCGAGACUGAUCCAGCCAUGCCGCGUGCAGGAAGACGGCCUUAUGGGUUGUAAACUGCUUUUACACAGGGGUAACAGUAGGUACGUGUACCUAUUUGAAAGUACUGUGAGAAUAAGGAUCGGCUAACUCCGUGCCAGCAGCCGCGGUAAUACGGAGGAUCCAAGCGUUAUCCGGAUUUAUUGGGUUUAAAGGGUGCGCAGGCUGAUGUAUAAGUCAGCGGUGAAAUCUCUCGGCUUAACCGAGGAAUUGCCGUUGAUACUGUAUGUCUAGAGUUUAGACGGCGUAGGCGGAAUAUGUCAAGUAGCGGUGAAAUGCGUAGAUAUGACAUAGAACACCGAUAGGGUAGCCAGCUUACGAGGCUAAUACUGACGCUCAAGCACGAAAGCGUGGGGAUCAAACAGGAUUAGAUACCCUGGUAGUCCACGCAGUAAACGAUGAUCACUCGUUGUCGGCGAUAUAAUGCCGGUGGCCAAGCGAAAGUGAUAAGUGAUCCACCUGGGGAGUACGUUCGCAAGUAUGAAAC
This 896-nucleotide ribosomal RNA is filed under the name uncultured bacterium. Its description in RNAcentral is "bacterial SSU rRNA". It matches the Rfam family "Bacterial small subunit ribosomal RNA", at positions 8 to 900 of the family's 1533-position model. The record is from RNAcentral.